GUGGGGAAUAUUGGACAAUGGGCGAAAGCCUGAUCCAGCCAUGCCGCGUGAGUGAUGAAGGCCUUAGGGUUGUAAAGCUCUUUCAGUAGGGAAGAUAAUGACGGUACCUACAGAAGAAGCCCCGGCUAACUUCGUGCCAGCAGCCGCGGUAAUACGAAGGGGGCUAGCGUUGUUCGGAUUUACUGGGCGUGAAGCGCACGUAGGCGGAUUGGUCAGUUAGAGGUGAAAUCCUGGAGCUCAACUCCAGAACUGCCUUUAAUACUGCCAGUCUAGAGUCCAGAAGAGGUGAGUGGAACUCCUAGUGUAGAGGUGGAAUUCGUAGAUAUUAGGAAGAACACCAGUGGCGAAGGCGGCUCACUGGUCUGGUACUGACGCUGAGGUGCGAAAGCGUGGGGAGCAAACAGGAUUAGAAACCCUGGUAGUCC
Molecule: ribosomal RNA, 425 nt
Filed under: uncultured bacterium
Lineage: Bacteria
Description: partial 16S ribosomal RNA
Rfam family: Bacterial small subunit ribosomal RNA
Source: RNAcentral